AUUGAACGCUGGCGGCAGGCCUAACACAUGCAAGUCGAGCGGAUGAAGGGAGCUUGCUCCUGGAUUCAGCGGCGGACGGGUGAGUAAUGCCUAGGAAUCUGCCUGGUAGUGGGGGAUAACGUCCGGAAACGGGCGCUAAUACCGCAUACGUCCUGCGGGAGAAAGUGGGGGAUCUUCGGACCUCACGCUAUCAGAUGAGCCUAGGUCGGAUUAGCUAGUUGGUGGGGUAAAGGCCUACCAAGGCGACGAUCCGUAACUGGUCUGAGAGGAUGAUCAGUCACACUGGAACUGAGCCACGGUCCAGCCUCCUACGGGAGGCAGCAGUGGGGAAUAUUGGACAAUGGGCGAAAGCCUGAUCCAGCCAUGCCGCGUGUGUGAAGAAGGUCUUCGGAUUGUAAAGCACUUUAAGUUGGGAGGAAGGGCAGUAAGUUAAUACCUUGCUGUUUUGACGUUACCAACAGAAUAAGCACCGGCUAACUUCGUG
RNAcentral lists this ribosomal RNA (484 nucleotides) under uncultured bacterium. RNAcentral describes it as "partial 16S ribosomal RNA". It matches the Rfam family "Bacterial small subunit ribosomal RNA", at positions 30 to 507 of the family's 1533-position model. The record is from RNAcentral.